This 31-nucleotide non-coding RNA is filed under the name Mus musculus (house mouse). Lineage: Eukaryota; Metazoa; Chordata; Mammalia; Rodentia; Muridae. The record is from RNAcentral.
CCAUUUCAUGAACUACUUCAGACUUCAAAAC